Dromaius novaehollandiae (emu) is the source of this 3861-nucleotide long non-coding RNA. RefSeq lists it as uncharacterized. The transcript is spliced from 13 exons. The record is from RefSeq and is a predicted model, not a curated record. Lineage: Eukaryota; Metazoa; Chordata; Aves; Casuariiformes; Dromaiidae.
GGGGCGGCCGUUGGCGGGCGAGCGGGGAGGGGAGGCCGUGGCGCGAGCCCCAGUGUUCUGGGCCGUUGGGCGGCGCGCGGGGCGGCCGUUGGUGAGGAGGCGGCCGCAGUAGGGCCGCGUGGGGAGGCGAAGGUACUUGGCGACCAAGGUUGGUGCCGCAGUUGGGACGGCGCGGCGCGCUCUCCUCCACAGGCGCGGUCGGGCCCGAGCGGAGCCGCUGAGGCGGAGGAGCGGGGCGAGCGGCAGAGUGUCGAGGCUGGAAAUACAGAGAUGAGCAUCUGUUGCUGUUGAAGUUCUUCCCAAAGAACGUAUUAUGCAAGGCAAAAGUUCUUCAGUUGUGAUGACAGAAGAUCAUGGGGUAAAUAACAGUACCAGCAGUAUUUAACAGAGCAAAACAGCUUCCUGAAAUAAUUCGACUGACAUUCAAACAUAUCCUAAAGAAUACCAUGCAACUUUUCCUGAAGUUUCAGACUGUUUCUGUGAUGACCAGAAGACCCCUUCAAGUGGUAGAGCACAUGGAAAAUACCAAAAGCAAGCCUUAUUUACUCAGUAGGGAGAGCAGUUAUAAUUUGCAGUUUCUUCAAAGAAGCAGGGUGCUACAGAAGAGUUGAAAGGAUGUGGGAAGCUGCUUGCUGAGAGGCCUUAUUUUUGCAAUUUGUGGUACAUUUCCAGAUUGAUUAGCAGGAAGAGCUACAUGUGACGGCAGCUGCCAUUUUUUGAGGACAUGUUCCAUCCUGCCAGAUGUCUUUUUCACAUAACAGUAUAUUUUCUUCAUCACCACGGCAACGUACUUCACUCCAGUAAACAGGGAUAAGGCCCAGUCCAGCAAAUGGUCUCCAUGGCAGAAGUUGGUCGCUGCUCUUUCUAUAUUUACAGAAUGCACAGUGGCAACAGUGGAAGACUUUAUUCACAUAUACAGAGGAGAACAUGAUUUACAGCUGCUUAUAGGAAUACUAACAUCUUAUGAAAGGCAUUAGGAUACAUAACAGACUGUUCAUCUCACAAGAAUAUACAAUAAAGAACUGGCCUCUAUCAGAUGGGAACAAAAAAGACACAUGAUGGUUAUUAAAGACAAAACUCUUACUUUAUAAUGAAACAUACAUCUGUGCUUCAUGUGCAAGUUGAUCAUAGGAAAUUGCAAGCUGACCAACGUAAUCUGCUGUCAGGUGUUACAAUGUGGGAUGGUUUAAUUUUAUUAGACUUCUGGGGAAAAAAAAAUCAAGUGAUGGAGGAAUGCCACAGAAGGGCCCUGCGCUGAUAUUUCAUCUCUGAAGUCUUGGAGUCAAAUGUUAGGAGCAACUUCCAAGCGCACCUUUAUGUUCCCCUCCCAGGAGAGCCACUUGGUGGACCUCAAGUGUGCAACGGCAUGAAGACACAGUGGAUGAGCGGGCGGCGUGAUGCAAGUGCAAUGCCAGGAGUGCACCAACAUGACCGUGUAGAUACAGCAGAGAGCAUGUGUAUACAUGCUUUAUUGCCUUAUGCUUGGAGUAAGACGUAAAUACAGCAUCACAUGUGCUGCAGGCUGUUAACUAGGUGAAAGCAUUAGUAAGGCUUCAUCUGCAGCUGAAUGCCUAGUUUUGGGAACUGCCACUUGAGAAAGAUUGGACUCCAUUAACUGUGAUUACAGGAGGGAGAAGGAUCACAAUCUUAGUCUACAGAGCAGCAGAGUGAGAAGAAAUGUGACAAAGGUUUUCCAGGACAGAAAGGACUGUUGCACGGAGGAUACGAAUAAACUUCUACAUAUUGUGGUGAGCUGUAAGAAAUGUAUUUCUCUUGCUCUCCAUAUGAAGUAGUGAUUGUAAAUGGCAGCAAUAAAUAUUUAGACUGGACACUAGGAAACAAAUCUAAAUGUAAGAACCAAGAAACUCUGGUGUGGAUUCCCUGGGGAGGCUGAUGCAUUUCCAGCACUGCAUAUUUGUAGGUUUGACAAACAUGUCAGGGAUGAUAUCAGUAAAGCAAAUCUUGGCUUUGGAUAUGAGAGUGGAUUAGAUGAGCUCUAGAGUUCUCUCACAACCGUGUUUUGAUGGUUCCAUGAUAAGGUGCAAGGCCACAGAAAAUCAUGAUGUAAAUGAAAUACUCCAAUAUCAGUGAUCAAAUCCAAAUCCAUAGAUUAGAUUAUGGCAUGGUAUAUACAUAGGUAUAGCUCUUCUUCACUCCAGACUGGCAAAAUGUGGCUUGGUAUUUAUCCUAACAGAAAAUAAGUGACCCCAGAUUGCACGUAAGGUUCAGACUGCCAAAACCACAGCAAACAGAGAAGAAAGGGAAGGAGCAUUUUGCAAAAAUAUUGACUUUUUAUUUUGAAACAGUGUAUGUAUAACAUAACAUCUUUCAUAGCUAUUAGUGUUUGUUAAGAUUAGCUUGUCUUAGCAACCAGUUCUAAAAACAGAGCAUAGGCUCGCACAAACCUCUUCAUCGUAUCACAUCCAGGAGGAAGUGAUUUUGUUACUGUGCAGGGACUUCUACUGUAUUCAUUACAGCCAACAGUAGCAAAGAAGCAUACGGUAGUUUGAGAUAGCAUUUUUUUCCCCAUAACAUUUGUGUAUAUAGGACAGUAUAAGUAACAAUGCACCCCCUAAGGAGAUAAUAAGUCAUCUAUUGGUAUUCUGAGUUUUGAACAUUUAAAAGCCCCAUCAUGUUGCUGAUGUUCUACCACUAAGAAAUGUCAAUAGUUGAAAAUACUGUUUUCCUUCCGCAUUACUGUGCAUUGCUGCUCUAAUCUCCUUGUCUUCAUCUAUCUAUCUUUCUCUGUUUAAGUUUUGGCCUGCAUAUUUUGUUGAAAUAUAUACCAUAUAAUAAAGAGAGUAACAGUUUGUAUCACAAAACUGUGGGAUGGUGUCUGGCACUAAGAUACCAGUGGAGGAGCACAUAUGUUCUGUAUGAUGGAGAACUAAAUGUCACUGUUCAGCUCUUCCUGUCUACAUGCUUGGGUCUGGCAAUCAUAGGAAAGAUCGGUCUAUUUCAGGAAAGCAAACAUUAACAUUAACUAGACAUGCUGAGAUAAUUUAUAAUGUUUAUUUUUUCUUAAGUUUGCCUUACUGAGAUACUAAGAACUGAAGUUUAUUGCAUAUGACUUUUGAAUCAAAACUGUGUGCCCCUGCGGGUCUUCAUUCUUGUUUUAAUACACAUUGCUCAUAGAAUAAAAAUCAGCAUAUGAUAUAAAUUAUAUACAUUUAAAGACAGUAGAAGAUGAGAGGGGGAAAGGGAAGGAGCAGGAAAAGAGACCAAAAAUCAGAGAAAUGCCUUAAAAAUUUUGCAAAACUACCUCAAUCCAGGACUCUCUAACUGUUGGAAUAGUGGAAGCAGAACACAAAGGUCAAGGAAGAAAUAACUACAUUGGGUAAGAAAAUGUGUUAAAUUGCAGUUGCCCAUAAUGGACUUACUAGGGAGAGAAGUGUAGAAGAGUAGUAUUCUGACCCCAAAACAGAAUGACAGAGAAACUGUUAGACGUAGAAGUAUGACAAAAACUCAACAUAUUGCAGUAAACCAUCACAGCUGUGAAACAUCUUAGAGAAUAAAUCUUGCUGGAAAGACCUCUCCAAAGAUUUUGCAGAGUUGUUUGCUUGGAAGAAGUGAUGAAACAUAUUAAAAUGGCUGAGUGAAAACUAAUUUAACACCUAUAUUUGAAAACACAGACGCAAGUAUUCUGCUCAAUGACUCCUGAGAAGCCCAGAAACCAGAUUUCCAUCAAUGGGAGAUGUUACUGUUCAGAGUCAGUUUGUCUCUAUGUUAGAGUUAGUUUGUUUCCCCUUAGAUGUUGGGCAUCAUGCAAGAGUUCAUAACUAAGAGAUUUACAAUGCACCCAUUGCAAGAAGCCAUAUGUAUGUUAAUAUGGGAAAUCACCUCAGUUGCAGUGAUGCUCUC